GAGUGAAAUGUUUUCCCAGACAAGAAAAAACUGAAGGAGUUUGUUACCAUCAAACAAGUAUUACAAGGUAUGUUGAAGGGCCUGCUUUAAGAAGGUGAAGAAGA
Molecule: long non-coding RNA, 104 nt
Organism: Myotis brandtii (Brandt's bat)
Lineage: Eukaryota; Metazoa; Chordata; Mammalia; Chiroptera; Vespertilionidae
Exons: 3
Source: RefSeq, a predicted model, not a curated record